CUGGGAGGGAGGGCCAUCUUUGGUCUGAGCCUGGGUACCCGAAGUUCUGGAAGAUAACAGAUGCCUGUUCCAGAAUGAGGCAAAACAAUGCGUGGCUUUCUGCUAGCGUGUCAAAGCCUUCCAGUUUCAGCUCAGAUCAGCCAGACUCCAUCUUCAGUUCUGAUCACUGAAUUCAGACCAGUUACAUUCAGACACAGGGAGACAGCCUCUCAGGAAUGACCUGAUGGGAUGAAACAUCAAGGUUUGACUCAACCAGAUCUGACCCAACAAGCAGCGCUUAGAAUUAGAUCACAGUCUCUGCAUGCAUUAAGACUUACAGCCUACAGUAGCUCUGUUAGACUGCAGAGCAGCUAGGCUGGCUCUGAUUGAAAUUACCAUUUUGAUGCUCUGACCUUCAGAUCUCUUAACAAAGCAGAAAACGACCUGUCCACUUGUCCUUCUUGCUCUGGUGAGGCAGAGUGGCAUCAGCUCCAAGCCAGUGCAAUAUUUAACUUAAUCCAUGCUCCCAAAUACAGCACCAAGACAACAACAACAAACUUCAAAGAACACAAUUCUUACUUACAAAAGGGACUGCUGCCACUGCCACAAGUGGGUCUUCUGCAGGUCAGAGAGGGUCCUGCCAACACGUGGCCAAGCAGGCAGUAACUCACCUCCCAGGUCAGCUCCAAAGCCCGGAUGCAUUUUAAAAUCCACCAAGAAUCACACACUGCAAUGCUUGCUGCAAGUGCAAGCCCUGAGAUAAGCACAUAUGGAUGUCUGGCCACUGAUGAGUUAUGAGCUCCUCCUUGGAGCUUGGAGGAAUUGGGAAUGCAGUUUGAAAGAAUUCUGUCAGAGGAUGAGAGAAUUCUAGCAAAGGGGAGUAUAUAUAUAUGUAUAUAUUGGUGUUAAUUUGAAGUUCACGUAUGAAGUAGCUAGAAUCAGCGAUACCUGCUUCUAGAGCUGUUACACCCCAUGCCAUCUCAUAUGGCAGAAAAAAACCCUAAUCUUUGACAAAUAAAUCAUUCCUUAAGCACUGUGUUGCCAUUUGAUACUAAGUAGCAGGUGAAAGCUACUAGUCUAGUAUGAAAGCAUCCAGCAAAAUAAACUGGAUAAUAUCAAGUUGAAAUUUGGCUUUGUUUUUCGAGAGUAAAUACAGGAAAAUACCCACUGUAACAGCUUUCCAGGACAGUAGA
Cygnus olor (mute swan) is the source of this 1172-nucleotide long non-coding RNA. RefSeq lists it as uncharacterized. The transcript has 3 exons. NCBI's taxonomy places the organism in Eukaryota, Metazoa, Chordata, Aves, Anseriformes, Anatidae. The record is from RefSeq and is a predicted model, not a curated record.